RNAcentral lists this ribosomal RNA (773 nucleotides) under uncultured Neocallimastigales. RNAcentral's name for it is "partial large subunit ribosomal RNA". It matches the Rfam family "Eukaryotic large subunit ribosomal RNA", at positions 24 to 634 of the family's 3401-position model. Lineage: Eukaryota; Fungi; Neocallimastigomycota; Neocallimastigomycetes; Neocallimastigales. The record is from RNAcentral.
UAUGUGAUCGUCUCUCGCAUAUCAAUAAGCGGAGGAAAAGAAACUAACAAGGAUUCCCCUAGUAACGGCGAGUGAAGCGGGAAGAGCUCAAAUUUGAAAUCUUAGAGGGUUUCCCUUUACGAAUUGUAGUUUAAAGAAGUGUUUUCUGUUGAGGUUUUGGUAAAAGUUCUUUGGAAUAGGACAUCAUAGAGGGUGAGAAUCCCGUAUUUGACCUUUACUUUCAACUUUGUGAUACACUUUCAAAGAGUCGGAUUGUUUGGGAAUGCAGUCCAAAAUGGGUGGUAAAUUUCAUCUAAAGCUAAAUAUUGGCGAGAGACCGAUAGCGAACAAGUACCGUGAGGGAAAGAUGAAAAGAACUUUGAAAAGAGAGUUAAACAGUACGUGAAAUUGUCAAAAGGGAAGCGUUUGACACCAGUGUUGUUUUUCUGAAAAUCAAUUAAGGAACUGUUUAUGCUAAGCUGUUUAGACUUUAUCAGCUAUCUGUUUAGUUUUGAGCUUUUCUUUAAUGCACUUUUCAGUUAACAUGUCAACAUCAAUUUCUUUUGCUGUAAAAAGCUUGAGGAAGGUGGCUUGAGAUUCGUCUUAAGUGUUUAUAGCCUCUUGCCUAUGCAGUCGGAGAGAUUGAGGUCUGCAGCGUAGAUCCUUCGGGGCUAAAUGCGUUUGUGCUAAGUUAUAGCAUUUUAUAGACAACUUGUUGACUAUGAUUUGUCUUGUAGCUUACUCGCUUAUGUUAUUUUACCUACGCUUAGGAUGUUGAACGCGCACAGAGUCUC